Molecule: small RNA, 113 nt
Filed under: Vector pAAVsc_gSerpina1d
Description: Serpina1d-gRNA2
Rfam family: Trans-activating crRNA (bases 22-113)
About the family: RNA-guided Streptococcus pyogenes Cas9 (SpCas9) is a sequence-specific DNA endonuclease, the Trans-activating CRISPR RNA form an hybrid with the crRNA (crRNA/tracrRNA). The RNA hybrid acts as a guide for the endonuclease Cas9.
Source: RNAcentral
GGGACAUCGGAUGUUGUGUUGUUUCAGAGCUAUGCUGGAAACAGCAUAGCAAGUUGAAAUAAGGCUAGUCCGUUAUCAACUUGAAAAAGUGGCACCGAGUCGGUGCUUUUUUU